GCUAUGAUGUAUGUACAAAGCAUUCAGCUUGUCGUGCAGAUAAAAGGUUAAAUCUGGGCCUUGUAUUUUCACAGUAUAUUUUGUAGCUUCUUGGCCAUUCUUUGAUUUAUUAGCCUGUCCUAAAACAGGAGUAUAUUUUGCUGUUGACUUUUAAUGGCCCUAGUAUUGUCUAUCACUGGGAAUAUGGAUCCCAUAAAAUGAGAAACGAUACAUUUUUAUUAAUCCCAAAUAUUGGAAGUGUUACAGAACUCAGCGACCAUUAACAUGUGCCUAAAUGUUACUAUG
Molecule: non-coding RNA, 285 nt
Organism: Pelobates cultripes (western spadefoot toad)
Lineage: Eukaryota; Metazoa; Chordata; Amphibia; Anura; Pelobatidae
Source: the annotation of a GenBank genome assembly